CUUAAUAUUUAAAUACGUUCUUAUAUGAUCUCCGAAUUAUUUAAAAUUAUACUGGACGAAAAAUAUACCGAUAUAAAGCGUUUAAUGUGUUGAGAGUCCUGAAAUUUAUUCAAAUAAUUUGAAAAGAAUCGUAAAGCCGGGAGCGGCGUGCUUUUAAAUUUUGGCGCGGUAGCCAUGAGCCCUACCCCACCAAGAGUCCAGUCAACGGCGGCCAUGAUGCAUAUCCCCCACUUUGCCGACUCUUGCGUCUGCGCCGAGUUAGUCACUUGUUCCUUGUGCGUCGUGCUGGUUGUGCCGGCUCUCUAAUUUGUAACAUACCGGCGUCUGACUUUGAUAUAUCAUUAUCACUUAUAAUUAUCACCACCGGCUUAGAAACGUGUUAUAACACAUUUAGCAUCUGACAUUCGGAGUGAAGUUGGCGCAGUGACGAUGCUUGGCGCGCAAUUGCAGCUCGAUAGGGCGUGCAUCGAUAUAAUCGAUCACAUCAUUCUGACUCGUUUGGACAAUUGGCAAGAUUAUUAUUCUUUCAGGUUUUUCUUGUGACCGCGCAAUGCGGUCUUGUGUUAGAAUCAGUGUUUGCUUCGUAAUUAUGUAUUUUUCUUGAUUUUGUGGCCGCGCGCAAUGCGGUCGUAGAACCUUGCUUCAUAUUUGCAUUAUAGAUUGCAAUUUUUCUAGUUAUUUAGUCAAUUUAAAAUGUCAUUUCCUAUUUCGUAAUUCUGUCUUAAUAAAUUCUGUCGCGAAAUUCGAGUCAGUGUUUGUUUGUCGAGUAGAAUUUGAACGGGCAUAUCUGUAGUUAUCUAGUCAUUAUCUUUUUAUUCUUGUCUUGUUCUCAAGAAAGAAGGUAGCGCGAAGAGAAGGCAUUCUUCGGUGGGCAGCAAUGGGUUUUAUCUCGGCUGCUCCAAGAAUAUUCGGUGGCCGCGCGCAAUGCGGCCGGUAGACUCAGUGUUUGUUCCGUAGUAAUUUUUAGUUGAGUUCAAUUUUAAUUUUGAAUAUCUUUAAGUCAAUUUCGAAUUGAUUCAUUAUAUUUUCUUCUCUAAUUCAAUUUUCUAAUUUUUGAUACAUUUAAUCGCGAAAUUAGAGUCAGUGUUGUUCGUCGAUUAAUACUUCUUUUAUUGUUGUUUCUUACAUUCUCAAAAUGGUCAUUCAGUGUUAUUAGAGUCGCGCGUUUAAAGUCACAUCAAGAACGAAGAAUAUAAGAGAUUAUGCGGUACUCCUCGAGAGUACAAUUUGUUACAGUUUUCAUCUUUAUUCUUCUUCUUCUUCGACAACCGGCGGAUGGUUCCUGACAUUCCUCAAUUUUGGGGUGGCCGAAGCAGCAUCAA
This is a long non-coding RNA of Ceratina calcarata, 1322 nucleotides long. RefSeq lists it as uncharacterized. The record is from RefSeq and is a predicted model, not a curated record. The transcript has 5 exons. NCBI's taxonomy places the organism in Eukaryota, Metazoa, Arthropoda, Insecta, Hymenoptera, Apidae.